GGUCCUAUAGCUCAGCUGGUUAGAGCGUCGUACUAAUAUUAUAACACAUCUGAUGUUGUAACAUUGGUGAUGCGAAGGUCGUGAGUUCAAUCCUCACUGGGACCA
Molecule: transfer RNA, 105 nt
Filed under: Xylaria palmicola
Lineage: Eukaryota; Fungi; Ascomycota; Sordariomycetes; Xylariales; Xylariaceae
Description: tRNA-Ile
Rfam family: tRNA
About the family: Transfer RNA (tRNA) molecules are approximately 80 nucleotides in length. Their secondary structure includes four short double-helical elements and three loops (D, anti-codon, and T loops).
Source: RNAcentral